GGGACUGUAGCUCAGUGAUAGAGUGCUUGCCUAGCAUGUAUGAGGCAUUAGGUUCUGAUCCUCAGUGCCA
This is a non-coding RNA of Ictidomys tridecemlineatus (thirteen-lined ground squirrel), 70 nucleotides long. The record is from Rfam. Lineage: Eukaryota; Metazoa; Chordata; Mammalia; Rodentia; Sciuridae.